Molecule: long non-coding RNA, 256 nt
Filed under: Vigna radiata
Lineage: Eukaryota; Viridiplantae; Streptophyta; Magnoliopsida; Fabales; Fabaceae
Description: long non-coding RNA (VRAD_LNC006870)
Source: RNAcentral
GCACAAAAAGUCAACAAACCUCAAAAUUUCCCCACUAAUGUAAUAUAGGGGUCAACCAAGGAUCAAUCCGUGGACUUGGUACUUAUCAAGUUUGAAAUUGUAGAAUUAUAGCUUAUUUAUUUACUUAUUUACUAAAACUAGGUGGGGAAAAAUCUAAAAUGAAGUCUAAAGAAAUAAACUAAACAAAUAAUGCAAUGCAUGCUUCCUAACUAAAAUGAAUGUAAGAUGCCUAAGAUAAAAUGAUGCAAAGGAAGAG